CGGGUGAGUAACACGUAGGUGACCUGCCCCAAAGUGGGGAAUAACCACUGGAAACGGUGGCUAAUACCUCAUGUACUCGGUGGUUCGUUCCAUCGAGUAAAGCUCCGGCGCUUUGGGAGGGGCCUGCGGCCCAUCAGGUAGUUGGUAGGGUAAUGGCCUACCAAGCCGAUGACGGGUAGGGGGCGUGAGAGCGUGAUCCCCCACACUGGCACUGAGACACGGGCCAGACUCCUACGGGAGGCAGCAGUGAGGAAUAUUGGGCAAUGGGCGCAAGCCUGACCCAGCAACGCCGCGUGGGCGAAGAAGGCCUUCGGGUUGUAAAGCCCUUUUCUGGGGGAAGAGGAAGGACGGUACCUCAGGAAUAAGUCACGGCUAACUACGUGCCAGCAGCCGCGGUAAUACGUAGGUGGCCAGCGUUAUCCGGAUUUACUGGGCGUAAAGCGCGUGCAGGCGGCUUCGUAAGUCGGACGUGAAAGCUCCCGGCUCAACUGGGAGAGGCC
This 500-nucleotide ribosomal RNA is filed under the name uncultured bacterium. RNAcentral describes it as "bacterial SSU rRNA". It matches the Rfam family "Bacterial small subunit ribosomal RNA", at positions 103 to 624 of the family's 1533-position model. The record is from RNAcentral.